CGCCCCGUUCCCACGCUGCCGCCGCCCCGGCCCCGCCCGCUCCCUGCACCGGACGGAGACUCCCCUUCAGGACGCUCCUCGCGAGCGGUACCCAGAGGCGAGGUCGAGACAGGCCUGGGAGGCCCCACCCCCGCCCCCGUUUCCUGGGGACGAGGCCUCCGAGGGCUUCUCGGAGGAGGUGGCGGCCUUGGCCUCGGGCCUGCCGGGGGCGGGAAGGGAGGCCGACUCCCUCGGCCGCCCGCCGAGCCCAGGUAGGAGGGCCGAGCUGAGCCGCAGGGGUGCGGGUAAGCGGAUAAGGGGUCCGUCUCGGCAGGGUGCAGGUGGCGAGGGGGAUGAGGGAGCGGCGGCGGCGGCGGCGACAGGCAGGGACGCCCUGGGAGGCGGGCUAGCACUGAGCAGCCGAACCAGCCCUCGGGGCCGCCCCGUACCAGGGGCGCCAGGGGAGAAUAGCCAUCCAGGGCCGGGCGCUGGGAGCCGCGGCCCGUGUUUGUCAAUUUCUCUCCUGAUUGGUUUCCAGCCACCGGUCCGAGGCUGGCUAAAGAGCAUCCCGUCGCUGAUCCGCCUGGGUCCCACGUGGUGUCAUCCUCUGUGCCUGUUCCCUAAUUUUCAGCACCAUGAAUGCCAAAUGCAGGACCAUCUGAGGGCCAGGGUAUGUGCUGUGCUAUUGGCUGGCUACUCUCUUUGCCACUCUUAGCCUCCAGCUCUCCGCCUGAAUGUCACCCCUUCAGAGAGCACCCCUACUACUGUAGGACCCCCUUGAUUCUGCACUGCCCUCACCUCUCUUCUCUUCCUUGAAAGCAAGUCUCAUGUCGCAAGGGGAGGUGGUGCGUGUGCAUUUGGAGUUUCCUUAAGAAUCCCAACCUGGGGGAAGGGGAUUGGCAGUGGAGCUUCUAGGAAUGGCUGAAAAGUUGGGGUCAGGGGGCACUGGCCACAUGGGGAGACAGCUAGGAAAAGCAGCAAAAGAAGAAAGGAAAGAAGGAAUGGGAUCCCUUGAAAGCCUGGUCAGGCAAGUGCCAGUAUGGGAAGUGGGCAUGGCAGCUCAGUUGCAGAAAGUGUCCUGGGUUUGAAGGGUGCCCCCCAAAAAGACAUAUUGAAGUCUCAACUCCUGGUAUCUGUGACUGUGACCUCAUUUGGAAAGGAAGUCUUUGCAGCUGUAAUCAAGGUAAGAUGAGGUCAUACUGUAGGAGCAGGGUGGGCCCUAAUCCAGUGACUGGCAUUCUCAACAGACCAGGGAAAUUUGGACACAGACACACACACAGAGAGGAUGGCUGCACGAAGACAGAGGCCGAGAAGGAUUGCUGGCAACCACCAGAAGCUAAAAGAGGCGAGGAUGGGGCUUCAGUGGAGCGGGGACCUCCCAGCACCUGGAUCUUGGACUUCUGACCUCCAGAACCAGGAGAGAAAAAUGUGUGUUGCUUAAAAGCCCCGAUUUGUAGUCCUUGUUAUGGCCGCCCCAGGAAGUCAUACAGAAGGUCUGAUGGUCAGGUGCCCUUGGUGAAGCUGCAGGAGUGAGAACACCACAGGUGGCUGCUGUGCUUCUUAUUUCACAAGAAAAACUAAGCAGGGUCUUGAAGCAGGUCACAGAUUGGCUGCUCCAGGCUGGCCUGGGCUCACAGGAGGCUCUUUGCAUUUCCCUUAGCUCCUCUGUGCCCUGGGGAUGGCGGCCAUUCUUCUGACCACGAGACCCAAGGUGA
Molecule: long non-coding RNA, 1694 nt
Filed under: Piliocolobus tephrosceles (Ugandan red Colobus)
Lineage: Eukaryota; Metazoa; Chordata; Mammalia; Primates; Cercopithecidae
Description: lncRNA (ENSPTEG00000014061.1)
Source: RNAcentral